Molecule: ribosomal RNA, 518 nt
Filed under: Rhinella margaritifera group sp. DT2994
Lineage: Eukaryota; Metazoa; Chordata; Amphibia; Anura; Bufonidae
Description: Rhinella margaritifera group sp. DT3312 partial large subunit ribosomal RNA
Rfam family: Bacterial large subunit ribosomal RNA
Source: RNAcentral
GGCCGCGGUAUCCUAACCGUGCGAAGGUAGCGUAAUCACUUGUUCUUUAAAUGCGGACUAGUAUGAAUGGCACUACGAGGGUUAUACUGUCUCCUUUUUCUAAUCAGUGAAACUAAUUUUCCCGUGAAGAAGCGGGGAUACAACUAUAAGACGAGAAGACCCUAUGGAGCUUUAAACAACCCAGCAAUUACUUCUAAAAUUAUAAAUUUCAGAAUAUUCAUUUUUAAGUUAUAUGUCUGCAAGUUUUUGGUUGGGGUGACCAUGGAGAAUAACAUAACCUCCAUAUUGAAUGAAUUCCCUUCUAAGCUGAAAAUUACCAAUUGAAGCAUCAACAUACUGACAUCUAUUGACCCAAUAUAUUUGAUCAAUGAACCAAGUUACCCUAGGGAUAACAGCGCAAUCCACUUCAAGAGCCCCUAUCGACAAGUGGGUUUACGACCUCGAUGUUGGAUCAGGGUAUCCCAGUGGCGCAGCCGCUACUAAAGGUUCGUUUGUUCAACGAUUAAAACCCUACGUGA